UUCCUGUUCCUCUUUCUCUUACACUCUCUCCUUGACCACGAGUGCAGGACAUCACGGUAACAGCUCCUCCGCCCUUCUUCCCCCCUCCCUCCCAGAGGAAUAAUGUAACGAGGAACAGCUGACAUCCCCACCUGACAUGCCGGCAUCAGCGUGACAUCAGACCCAAACAGCCGAAAGGUGAUCAUUCCCCGAGAGUGGAGGAACAUAGGUUAAUCCCUUUGGCGCGAAAGACGGCGAACGGAUUUCAUUAUCAUCCUAUGCUAUGAUUACCAUGGGAUCUGAAGAACUCACGUUGAUGGGAAUCCUCGAGCCAGGGACCCUAUGCUCGUGGGAACCCUUGGGAGAACGCGUUAUGUUUUACUGGUGUUUGCUUGUGCUCUCGGCUCAACUACACGCCAUUUUCUUCGUCCUUACGCAGUCAGUCAGUAUCGAGACGCUUCUUUGAUGUUAAAAAAUCGUUAUUUAUAUACCUUGUCUUUCAUUUUUUAAUGUGUAAUCUAGAUUGAAUGUUCUGUACCUGUCGAUUUAUAUAUAUGUUAUUAUUUUAAGCGUUAUGCAUGAAUAAAAUUGUUGAGAAUA
RNAcentral lists this long non-coding RNA (579 nucleotides) under Penaeus japonicus. Its description in RNAcentral is "uncharacterized LOC122260882, transcript variant X1". The record is from RNAcentral. Lineage: Eukaryota; Metazoa; Arthropoda; Malacostraca; Decapoda; Penaeidae.